GACGAACGCUGGCGGCGUGCUUAACACAUGCAAGUCGAACGCUGAAGCUCAGCUUUUGUUGGGUGGAUGAGUGGCGAACGGGUGAGUAACACGUGAGUAACCUGCCCUCUUCUUUGGGAUAACGCCCGGAAACGGGUGCUAAUACUGGAUAUUCACUGAUCUUCGCAUGGGGGUUGGUGGAAAGGUUUGUUCUGGUGGGGGAUGGGCUCGCGGCCUAUCAGCUUGUUGGUGGGGUGAUGGCCUACCAAGGCUUUGACGGGUAGCCGGCCUGAGAGGGUGACCGGUCACAUUGGGACUGAGAUACGGCCCAGACUCCUACGGGAGGCAGCAGUGGGGAAUAUUGCACAAUGGGCGAAAGCCUGAUGCAGCGACGCCGCGUGAGGGAUGGAGGCCUUCGGGUUGUAAACCUCUUUCGCUCAUGGUCAAGCCGCGACGUGGGUUGUGGUGAGGGUAGUGGGUAAAGAA
Molecule: ribosomal RNA, 465 nt
Filed under: Actinomyces sp. oral taxon 172
Lineage: Bacteria; Bacillati; Actinomycetota; Actinomycetes; Actinomycetales; Actinomycetaceae
Description: bacterial SSU rRNA
Rfam family: Bacterial small subunit ribosomal RNA
Source: RNAcentral